Syzygium oleosum is the source of this 1532-nucleotide RNA transcript. It is a transcript of the gene named phosphatidylinositol 4-kinase alpha 1-like, with no coding region annotated. The transcript has 9 exons. The record is from RefSeq and is a predicted model, not a curated record. NCBI's taxonomy places the organism in Eukaryota, Viridiplantae, Streptophyta, Magnoliopsida, Myrtales, Myrtaceae.
CUGAUGCAUGAGCCAGUAGCCAUGGAGCCAUGGUUGAGAGUGUAAUGAAGGCAAGCUGUGAAGUGAUUGAAUAUGGCUGGAGCAAGGACCGGGCUUCUAUAAACACUUUUAUCAUCGGAUUAGCAGCAAGUGUCCGGGAUAGGAAUGAUUACGAUGAACAGCCUGGAUGAAUAUCGGGUGGAAAGGAGAAGCAGGAAGUUCCUGUUGUGCAACUUAACCUAAUACGCACAGCAGUAGAUUUAAGUGUUGCUAUUAGCAAGUCUGAAGUUGUGGAUAUGGUGCUGCCGAGGGCGAUGCUUCAGCUGCUGGUUUACUGCAGAUUCGUCUCCUUGUUGCUGUGUCUCAUAUAGCAAGUACAGGCUUUGAGAAGUCAUUUUGCGAGACCGUGGUUUUGAUGACAAGAAGCUACUUGAGCUGGCUUUCGAGUUUAGGGUCUGUUGAAAGCGAAAAACAUUGGCCUGGGAAGCCACAACAGAACGCGUUGAGAUUACUGUCACCGUCUGCUAUCUUUGUGCUCAGAUGUAGGCUUGGCAGAGGAGAGCAAAAUGGGAAGAUCUUUUGGGCCCUCUACUUCCUGCUGUUGCUGAGAUAUGUACUGACUUCAAUCCCUCGAUGACGUGGAGCCAUCUCUUUUGAAGUUAUUUCGGAACUUAUGGUUCUAUGUAGCUCUUUUUGGUCUAGUAUGGGAAGCAUAAGUGCAAUUCCUCUUUAGGCUGUGGGUGGACCGUACGCGUGGAACGCACGGCGGUCUGCUGCUGUCCAGGAAAUUUCACAGGGGACUCCUCCCCUUCUCCAGAUUUUUCUUUUAUCAUCACAAGAAACAAUCAUGUUCGCAGUUACCCGAAAUAGCUCCUAUUAUGUCGUUGACUGAAAUUGGGAGCUAUUUUAUGAAGGACACUGAAUGCUGCAAUUAGGUUGCAGAUGGAUGCCAGUUCUUGUGAUCCUGUAGUUAGCUCUGUGACAUGGCUUGAAGAUGAAUUGGAAUUUAAUGCUCUCCACAACCCCGGUAGUUGCAGAGGGAGUGGCGAUGAGAAAGCUGCUGUAGCCCACAGUGCUGCUCUUUCUGCUGCUUUGGGAGGGCGAGUAGAUGUUGGAGGAAUGAGCACAAUUUCAGGUUGGUUAUGCUGAGGAAUUAGAGUGGCGAAGGUGAAUUAGAGAGCACCAUGGCACUGGGUAUAUUAGGAUCAGAUGGGAUGCCAUGUCUGAUGGCGCUGUGUAGAGAUGGACUAAAAAUUCUUCAGCCUGCCUUCUAACCUGAAGUGUUUUCUCACAUCUUCAGGAAGAUCGCAUAUUUGACACAGGCCUUGGGGCAGUGACUCUCUGAAAUGAAUGGUCGCAAAUUCCAAUGUAGGGGACACGGGAUUUCUUCAUUAUAAUAGCUUACUCUUCCGUGUCUUUCUGAAAACCUUUCUUAUAUGACCUGUGGUAGAGAAACUUCAUAUGUGGAGAAAACAUAUCCAACUUCUUAAAUUUGGAAUACGAUUUGUUAUGUAAUCAUAUGCUAUAAUCAUAUGCUGGAAAUUACGCUAUUA